GACGAACGCUGGCGGCGUGCCUAAUACAUGCAAGUCGAGCGAGCGGAACUAACAGAUUUACUUCGGUAAUGACGUUAGGAAAGCGAGCGGCGGAUGGGUGAGUAACACGUGGGGAACCUGCCCCAUAGUCUGGGAUACCACUUGGAAACAGGUGCUAAUACCGGAUAAGAAAGCAGAUCGCAUGAUCAGCUUUUAAAAGGCGGCGUAAGCUGUCGCUAUGGGAUGGCCCCGCGGUGCAUUAGCUAGUUGGUAAGGUAAAGGCUUACCAAGGCGAUGAUGCAUAGCCGAGUUGAGAGAUUGAUCGGCCACAUUGGGACUGAGACACGGCCCAAACUCCUACGGGAGGCAGCAGUAGGGAAUCUUCCACAAUGGACGCAAGUCUGAUGGAGCAACGCCGCGUGAGUGAAGAAGGUUUUCGGAUCGUAAAGCUCUGUUGUCGGUGAAGAAGGAUAGAGGUAGUAACUGGCCUUUAUUUGACGGUAAUCAACCAGAAAGUCACGGCUAACUACGUGCCAGCAGCCGCGGUAAUACGUAGGUGGCAAGCGUUGUCCGGAUUUAUUGGGCGUAAAGCGAGCGCAGGCGGAAGAAUAAGUCUGAUGUGAAAGCCCUCGGCUUAACCGAGGAACUGCAUCGGAAACUGUUUUUCUUGAGUGCAGAAGAGGAGAGUGGAACUCCAUGUGUAGCGGUGGAAUGCGUAGAUAUAUGGAAGAACACCAGUGGCGAAGGCGGCUCUCUGGUCUGCAACUGACGCUGAGGCUCGAAAGCAUGGGUAGCGAACAGGAUUAGAUACCCUGGUAGUCCAUGCCGUAAACGAUGAGUGCUAAGUGUUGGGAGGUUUCCGCCUCUCAGUGCUGCAGCUAACGCAUUAAGCACUCCGCCUGGGGAGUACGACCGCAAGGUUGAAACUCAAAGGAAUUGACGGGGGCCCGCACAGCGGUGGAGCAUGUGGUUUAUUCGAAGCAACGCGAAGANCUUACCAGGUCUNGACAUCUAGUGCCAUUGUAGAGAUACAAGUUCCUUCGGGANNCUAA
This 1031-nucleotide ribosomal RNA is filed under the name uncultured bacterium. RNAcentral describes it as "bacterial SSU rRNA". It matches the Rfam family "Bacterial small subunit ribosomal RNA", at positions 28 to 1032 of the family's 1533-position model. The record is from RNAcentral.